This 2123-nucleotide long non-coding RNA is filed under the name Setaria viridis. RNAcentral describes it as "long non-coding RNA (SVIR_LNC002604)". Lineage: Eukaryota; Viridiplantae; Streptophyta; Magnoliopsida; Poales; Poaceae. The record is from RNAcentral.
UAACUUAGAUACAAAUUUAGAAUGCCAUUUUAAGCUAUGCUUUAUAAUGACAUGUAUGAGUAAAUUGGAUGAAGAUUAUAGUGUUACCUUAGAUUAUUUUUUAUAAUCUUCGAGCUUAGUAAUUUAGAUAUAUGUUUAGAGUUUAUUUUUAAAUAUUUUCAUAAUGAUAGUGGUGAGUAACUUUUUAGAAUAUAUAAUAGACCAAUGGCUAUGAUUAUUAGAAUUUACAGGAUUGAUGUUUGAUAUUUUUUAUUUUUUGAGAAUUUUGAGAAUUUGUCUCUUUUUUAGCAUAUCUCGUGGGAACUAAUGCGGAUCUCCAAUGAAAAAAGAGACCACGUUGCUACAAAACUAUUACCAUGAGCUACCUCUCAUUUGUUAAAUAUUCGAACACAAUACUUAUAUAGAUAUUGUGGUAGAAUUUAGUUAGUAUUUACUCUAUAAUAUUUUCAUCCACAUUUAUAAAUGUUAAACUUUUCACUUUGCAUUGUAGGUAUGCGCUUGAAUUUGUUUAAUGGAUCCUAAAUUUGAGUUACAAUUUGAACAUAGAAAUCUGUAUUCUCAUCACUUCCUCUAUAUUUUUACAAAUGGGGACACACCGUAUAUACCUUAAUUAUUAUAUCAUAUACUAAUAGUGUAAGAAAUAGACAAUUUAGAAACAUAUAUUGCUGUAUAUUUUUAAUUAAGGCGAUUUGGAUUCAAAUGUAGGGUUACCUCAUGUUAUUUUUAAUAAUGAAAUAUGUGGGUAAUAUAGAUGCAAAUUCAAGGGGUCACUUUAAGUUUUUUAGGUAUCAAUGGUGGGCAAUUUUUUUUUCAAAUUUAGGAAGUUAUUUUAAAUAUUGUUUAUAAUGGCAUAAGUGAGUAAUUUUGAUGAAGAAUAGGGGUUACUUUAGUUAAUUUUAUAUAAUGGCAGGGUGGUAAUUUAGAUUUAGGGGUUACUUUAGGCUAUUUUUAUAAUGACAUAGGUGGUUAAUUUUUUAGAAAAUAUAAUAGAUCCAAUGUCUAUGAUGAUUUGAGUCUACAAAUUAAUGGCUAGAUGUUUUAUUUUUUUUUAGAAUUUAUAGGAUUUCUCUCUUUUCCUAAAGUGUCCAUCUAGGAAUCUUAGGUGGCGUCACCUGGAUGCUUCGAAAGGAGUGUAGUAACUGAACUGUGACGUGAUGAGUUCCGGAUAUUGUUGGGAAUUGAUUACUACUGUAGCAUUCAUGUAGAGCUCUCAAUUUUUCCUGAAAAUUCUUUGUUAAGAUCUGUACCAGCAAAAAAGUUGUCAUUCUUCACAGCAGAGGAUACUCGGAAAAUUGUCCGCUCUGUCUGCAGUGCUCUACGAAAAAAGCUGCCUACCGUAGCCAGCCCUUUCCUGUACUUACAGAUGUAGAACUGGUACAGUAUUUUUUCUGCAAAGUGUUAUUCUGCCCCUUUCUACCACAUCAGUUCCUUUGUUUUACCUUUUUUUUUUGAAAGACAGACUGUUUUACUUUUACCUAUUGUGUAACAUACUACCUCAUCACUCAUCAGUCAUCACGCACAGAAAACACAGGCACAGGCAGUACCGAGCAGUUUACACUCCCGCUUCGCUGCAAGCAAGAAAUACCUCCAGUUAUCCAUUCGAGACAAUAGCAUCACCGCGCACUCACCGCACCUGCAUGCUUCUCACAACUCGUUCCCAGAGGCCAGAAUCCCAGAUGCCUUGCCUUCAGAGUUCAUCGGUGGCACUCCAUCCAGUCUCCAGGUAGUUUUUUUCUCUGACCACAGUGGCCAGAUUACUACCCGGCCGUACCUUUUUCUUCUACAGUGCUAGUACUCAUUGCCCGCGUCACAGUCGUACCGUACGACAAGAUGCAUUGUCAAUCGCCUGCCCUCUGACAGCAACUUGCUGACUAAACUCUACUUCCCUCUGCGAUCCCUGCGAUCGAUCACGUUGCUUGAGUGAGGGCCUGGCUCCACGGAAUCUUGAGGCCUACGGAGGUUUGAUACUAAUUAAAAGUAUUAAAUAUACAUUAAUUACAAAAUUAAUUACCUAUAUGAAAGCUAAUUCGCGACACAAAUCUAUUAAGCCUAAUUAGUCCAUAAGUUGAUAAUGUGGUGCUUCAGUAAUCAUUUGCUAAUGAUGGAUUAAUUAGGCUUACUAG